RNAcentral lists this ribosomal RNA (478 nucleotides) under uncultured Diversispora. RNAcentral describes it as "SSU rRNA". It matches the Rfam family "Eukaryotic small subunit ribosomal RNA", at positions 569 to 1050 of the family's 1831-position model. Lineage: Eukaryota; Fungi; Glomeromycota; Glomeromycetes; Diversisporales; Diversisporaceae. The record is from RNAcentral.
AGCAGCCGCGGUAAUUCCAGCUCCAAUAGCGUAUAUUAAAGUUGUUGCAGUUAAAAAGCUCGUAGUUGAACUUCGGGGUUUACCCAUUGGUCAGGCUUAAUUGUCUGUACUGGUGAGAUAAAUCUCUACCUUCUGAGGAACUUUCAUGCCAUUUAUUUGGUGUGAUUGGAAAUCAGGACUAUUACUUUGAAAAAUUAGAGUGUUUAAAGCAGGCUAACGUCUGAAUAUAUUAGCAUGGAAUAAUGAAAUAGGACGGCUUGGUUCUAUUUCGUUGGUUUCUAGGAUCACCGUAAUGAUUAAUAGGGAUAGUUGGGGGCAUUAGUAUUCAAUUGUCAGAGGUGAAAUUCUUGGAUUUAUUGAAGACUAACUACUGCGAAAGCAUUUGCCAAGGAUGUUUUCAUUAAUCAAGAACGAAAGUUAGGGGAUCGAAGACGAUCAGAUACCGUCGUAGUCUUAACCAUAAACUAUGCCGACUAGG